GUGACAGGCUGAGAGGCGAGGUGGGUUUGAUGAAGGAGAGGAACAGACGGUAGGCGGUGAUGGACGUGUUGUAAAUCGUGAGGAGCGGAGGGUGGCAGAGCUAACAACAAGGCUCCCCAUCCCUCUAUAAUCAACACAAGACACAGAUUACAACUGUUAAUGCCCCUCUAUAACUUAACUCCUACCUUGAGGCACUGAGAAGAUAGAAACCGCCCUGACUCUCGCCGGUCUGAACACAUUUUAAUUCAACAUCAAGGUCGCAAACUUAUUUUUUGAUAAGGACUCUCAAAAAAAUAAAUAAAUAAAUAAAAAAAAAAUAAAAUAAAAUAAAUAAAUAAAUAAAUAAAUAAAAUAAAAUAAAAUAAAAUAAAUAAAAUUACGCUGUUAUCCCUAAAGUAAUUUGUUCUUCUAAUCCUUAAUAUAAGGAUCAUUUACAAACUCUAAUCACAUAUAAUUGUCCAAUUACAAUAGCAGUUAUUU
This is a long non-coding RNA of Scylla paramamosain (green mud crab), 480 nucleotides long. RefSeq lists it as uncharacterized. The transcript is spliced from 3 exons. The record is from RefSeq and is a predicted model, not a curated record. NCBI's taxonomy places the organism in Eukaryota, Metazoa, Arthropoda, Malacostraca, Decapoda, Portunidae.